UCUCCCCGAAAGCUAUUUAGGUAGCGCCUCGUGAAUUCAUCUCCGGGGGUAGAGCACUGUUUCGGCAAGGGGGUCAUCCCGACUUACCAACCCGAUGCAAACUGCGAAUACCGGAGAAUGUUAUCACGGGAGACACACGGCGGGUGCUAACGUCCGUCGUGAAGAGGGAAACAACCCAGACCGCCAGCUAAGGUCCCAAAGUCAUGGUUAAGUGGGAAACGAUGUGGGAAGGCCCAGACAGCCAGGAUGUUGGCUUAGAAGCAGCCAUCAUUUAAAGAAAGCGUAAUAGCUCACUGGUCGAGUCGGCCUGCGCGGAAGAUGUAACGGGGCUAAACCAUGCACCGAAGCUGCGGCAGCGACACUGUGUGUUGUUGGGUAGGGGAGCGUUCUGUAAGCCUGUGAAGGUGUGCUGUGAGGCAUGCUGGAGGUAUCAGAAGUGCGAAUGCUGACAUAAGUAACGAUAAAGCGGGUGAAAAGCCCGCUCGCCGGAAGACCAAGGGUUCCUGUCCAACGUUAAUCGGGGCAGGGUGAGUCGACCCCUAAGGCGAGGCCGAAAGGCGUAGUCGAUGGGAAACAGGUUAAUAUUCCUGUACUUGGUGUUACUGCGAAGGGGGGACGGAGAAGGCUAUGUUGGCCGGGCGACGGUUGUCCCGGUUUAAGCGUGUAGGCUGGUUUUCCAGGCAAAUCCGGAAAAUCAAGGCUGAGGCGUGAUGACGAGGCACUACGGUGCUGAAGCAACAAAUGCCCUGCUUCCAGGAAAAGCCUCUAAGCAUCAGGUAACAUCAAAUCGUACCCCAAACCGACACAGGUGGUCAGGUAGAGAAUACCAAGGCGCUUGAGAGAACUCGGGUGAAGGAACUAGGCAAAAUGGUGCCGUAACUUCGGGAGAAGGCACGCUGAUAUGUAGGUGAAGCGACUUGCUCGUGGAGCUGAAAUCAGUCGAAGAUACCAGCUGGCUGCAACUGUUUAUUAAAAACACAGCACUGUGCAAACACGAAAGUGGACGUAUACGGUGUGACGCCUGCCCGGUGCCGGAAGGUUAAUUGAUGGGGUCAGCGCAAGCGAAGCUCUUGAUCGAAGCCCCGGUAAACGGCGGCCGUAACUAUAACGGUCCUAAGGUAGCGAAAUUCCUUGUCGGGUAAGUUCCGACCUGCACGAAUGGCGUAAUGAUGGCCAGGCUGUCUCCACCCGAGACUCAGUGAAAUUGAACUCGCUGUGAAGAUGCAGUGUACCCGCGGCAAGACGGAAAGACCCCGUGAACCUUUACUAUAGCUUGACACUGAACAUUGAGCCUUGAUG
This 1299-nucleotide ribosomal RNA is filed under the name Escherichia coli. RNAcentral's name for it is "partial 23S ribosomal RNA". It matches the Rfam family "Bacterial large subunit ribosomal RNA", at positions 853 to 2136 of the family's 2925-position model. The record is from RNAcentral. Lineage: Bacteria; Pseudomonadati; Pseudomonadota; Gammaproteobacteria; Enterobacterales; Enterobacteriaceae.